CUUGUCUUGAUCCCUUGUAUUGUUCAAUGUGAGAACCCCCUCUGCCACCACUUCACCAGAAACAAAACCUACUCCCUCUCUCUAAUACCCUCUUCUUCCCCUACUCUUUCUCUGCCUUCUCUCUACCAAACUCACCUAAAGAAUUUCUGCAGUAGGUCUAAUCCUCUUCCCUAUUGCAGAAUUUAGGGCUGAAGCAAGAUCAGAACCACUUCCUCAAGCUGAGUCUUCCUUUCCUGCGCUGCCUUAGGUUGGAGUUUGAGGUAUUCUCCUUGGUUGAAGAGUCAAUUCUAGCGGAAAUUCCAAAGGGCCGAGUCCAGAUGAUGAUGUCCCUCUCUCUAGCAGGAGCUGAGUGAUCGUUGAGUAGUUCCGUGGUAGUGCUCAUGGAUUAGAUACCAUGUAGUUUUAAGAUGUUUUAGUUUAUGUUUGAGUACCUAUGUUCUUCACUAGAAAUUUAUAGGAUAUGUUUUUGGAUGACUGUAUCAGCUGUAUCAUCUAUAUUG
Long non-coding RNA from Vigna unguiculata (cowpea), 500 nucleotides. The record is from RefSeq and is a predicted model, not a curated record. NCBI's taxonomy places the organism in Eukaryota, Viridiplantae, Streptophyta, Magnoliopsida, Fabales, Fabaceae.